GUCACGCGCGUGAGUGAUGAAGGUUUCGGAUCGUAACUCUGUUGUUAGGGAAGAACAAGUGCCUAGUAACUGAUGGCCCUUGACGGUACCUAACCAGAAAGCCACGGCUAACUACGUGCCAGCAGCCGCGGUAAUACGUAGGUGGCAAGCGUUGUCCGGAAUUAUUGGGCGUAAAGCGCUCGCAGUCGGUUCUUUAAGUCUGAUGUGAAAUCUUACGGCUCAACCGUAAACGUGCAUUGGAAACUGGGGAACUUGAGUGCAGAAGAGGAGAGUGGAAUUCCACGUGUAGCGGUGAAAUGCGUAGAGAUGUGGAGGAACACCAGUGGCGAAGGCGACUCCCUGGUCUGUAACUGACGCUGAGGAGCGAAAGCGUGGGGAGCGAACAGGAUUAGAUACCCUGGUAGUCCACGCCGUAUACGAUGAGUGCUAGGUGUUAGGGGGUUUCCGCCCCUUAGUGCUGAAGUUAACGCAUUAAGCACUCCG
RNAcentral lists this ribosomal RNA (483 nucleotides) under uncultured bacterium. Its description in RNAcentral is "bacterial SSU rRNA". It matches the Rfam family "Bacterial small subunit ribosomal RNA", at positions 391 to 871 of the family's 1533-position model. The record is from RNAcentral.